UUUAUUUUGGGGUUUGGGUUUUGUUGUUUGGUUUUGUGUUUUUUUACACUGUGACCAUGGAUAUAGAUUGAAACCCUCUUUGAUCAUUUCUCUUCUAAUCUUUGUAUUAUAGCACAAACAGGUCUGAAUGAACCAGAGGACAUAAAAGCUUUUUUUAAACAAAUUCUAAAUUUGAAACAAUAUUCCCCUCUACAAAAUUUUCAUUGCCUGCAUUUCCUCCUGUGCUGAUAUAUAUAUUGGUCCCCUAUGUCACUAAUCAAGGUCCACUUGAAAAAAAACCCACAACAAAUGACAAUUGCAACAUACAAAUGACAGCACAAAAUGACAGUACUCUAAAGGGCUAAAUCUGUUUUUCAUCCAGGCAUAGCAUACUUAAAAACUGUUCACUGAAAAUAAGAAGAGCAUGAAAAUGUUUUUGGUUUUGUACUUUUGAAUGUGACUUAGAUGUAUUAUAUACUGAGGGAGCAUUUAUUAUCCUGUAUCUACUGAGAUCCAGUGUGGAUAACCUGCAUCCCGUGCUUUAACUUUUGAACGUUAUGAUGAAGCAGUUUAUCUUGUUUAUGGCACAGGAGGUUAAGGAGGUGGAACACUGCAUUUGUAAUACUGUGCAGUUGGGGUUGGGGAUGGUGUUUCUUGUGGUUUUGAUAAACAAGUAAAAAAACCCCAAAAGCACAAAUGUGUUCCAUUGCCAUCUAAGUCCACUCCUUUUGUUUGAUUCAAUGUAUUUUUGUUGUUACUGAAUGCAGCAAAUGUACUGAAUAAGAAAUGUUCAAAUGAAUCUUUAAACAAUCUCUUCCUGCCCACAGUCUUUUGAAGCCUGAAAAUCUUGCAGGUUAUUUAUGGGCUUGUAUAUAGCAGCUAUUGCAAUAUUUUUUUUCAGAACAGCAUCAUUUUGUCAAUGGUAUGAAAUCUUAAUUGAAUGAGAUGUGAGUUUUAAAAUAGGUAAUGUAGCAAGAAUUACUUUGCCAGUAAGUAGUAAAAUAAUUUAGUUUUGUUGGUUUUUUCCCCAAAAUAAAUAAGAAAUCUUAAUUUC
This 1033-nucleotide long non-coding RNA is filed under the name Strigops habroptila (Kakapo). RNAcentral describes it as "lncRNA (ENSSHBG00005016207.1)". Lineage: Eukaryota; Metazoa; Chordata; Aves; Psittaciformes; Psittacidae. The record is from RNAcentral.